This 1454-nucleotide ribosomal RNA is filed under the name Weissella confusa. Its description in RNAcentral is "bacterial SSU rRNA". It matches the Rfam family "Bacterial small subunit ribosomal RNA". The record is from RNAcentral. Lineage: Bacteria; Bacillati; Bacillota; Bacilli; Lactobacillales; Lactobacillaceae.
UACAUGCAAGUCGAACGCUUUGUGGUUCAACUGAUUUGAAGAAGCUUGCUCAGAUAUGACGAUGGACAUUGCAAAGAGUGGCGAACGGGUGAGUAACACGUGGGAAACCUACCUCUUAGCAGGGGAUAACAUUUGGAAACAGAUGCUAAUACCGUAUAACAAUGACAACCGCAUGGUUGUUAUUUAAAAGAUGGUUCUGCUAUCACUAAGAGAUGGUCCCGCGGUGCAUUAGCUAGUUGGUAAGGUAAUGGCUUACCAAGGCGAUGAUGCAUAGCCGAGUUGAGAGACUGAUCGGCCACAAUGGGACUGAGACACGGCCCAUACUCCUACGGGAGGCAGCAGUAGGGAAUCUUCCACAAUGGGCGAAAGCCUGAUGGAGCAACGCCGCGUGUGUGAUGAAGGGUUUCGGCUCGUAAAACACUGUUGUAAGAGAAGAAUGACAUUGAGAGUAACUGUUCAAUGUGUGACGGUAUCUUACCAGAAAGGAACGGCUAAAUACGUGCCAGCAGCCGCGGUAAUACGUAUGUUCCAAGCGUUAUCCGGAUUUAUUGGGCGUAAAGCGAGCGCAGACGGUUAUUUAAGUCUGAAGUGAAAGCCCUCAGCUCAACUGAGGAAUUGCUUUGGAAACUGGAUGACUUGAGUGCAGUAGAGGAAAGUGGAACUCCAUGUGUAGCGGUGAAAUGCGUAGAUAUAUGGAAGAACACCAGUGGCGAAGGCGGCUUUCUGGACUGUAACUGACGUUGAGGCUCGAAAGUGUGGGUAGCAAACAGGAUUAGAUACCCUGGUAGUCCACACCGUAAACGAUGAGUGCUAGGUGUUUGAGGGUUUCCGCCCUUAAGUGCCGCAGCUAACGCAUUAAGCACUCCGCCUGGGGAGUACGACCGCAAGGUUGAAACUCAAAGGAAUUGACGGGGACCCGCACAAGCGGUGGAGCAUGUGGUUUAAUUCGAAGCAACGCGAAGAACCUUACCAGGUCUUGACAUCCCUUGACAACUCCAGAGAUGGAGUGUUCCCUUCGGGGACAAGGUGACAGGUGGUGCAUGGUUGUCGUCAGCUCGUGUCGUGAGAUGUUGGGUUAAGUCCCGCAACGAGCGCAACCCUUAUUACUAGUUGCCAGCAUUCAGUUGGGCACUCUAGUGAGACUGCCGGUGACAAACCGGAGGAAGGUGGGGAUGACGUCAAAUCAUCAUGCCCCUUAUGACCUGGGCUACACACGUGCUACAAUGGCGUAUACAACGAGUUGCCAACCCGCGAGGGUGAGCUAAUCUCUUAAAGUACGUCUCAGUUCGGAUUGUAGGCUGCAACUCGCCUACAUGAAGUCGGAAUCGCUAGUAAUCGCGGAUCAGCACGCCGCGGUGAAUACGUUCCCGGGUCUUGUACACACCGCCCGUCACACCAUGAGAGUUUGUAACACCCAAAGCCGGUGGGGUAACCUUCGGGAGCCAGCCGUCUAA